Molecule: ribosomal RNA, 253 nt
Filed under: uncultured bacterium
Lineage: Bacteria
Description: partial 16S ribosomal RNA
Rfam family: Bacterial small subunit ribosomal RNA
Source: RNAcentral
UACGGGGGGGGCAAGCGUUGUUCGGAAUUACUGGGCGUAAAGGGCUCGUAGGCGGCCAACUAAGUCAGACGUGAAAUCCCUCGGCUUAACCGGGGAACUGCGUCUGAUACUGGAUGGCUUGAGUCCGGGAGAGGGAUGCGGAAUUCCAGGUGUAGCGGUGAAAUGCGUAGAUAUCUGGAGGAACACCGGUGGCGAAGGCGGUUCUCUGGGCCUUACCUGACGCUGAGGAGCGAAAGCGUGGGGAGCGAACAGG